UUUUCGGGUUGUGACUAUAACUGGAUUUGGAAAGCGAGUAUACCUCUGAAGAUCCAAAUCUUUAUGUGACAAUUGUCGCAAAAUGCAAUCUUAACCAGAGAUGUGAUGAAGCACAAGGGGUGGAAAAAAGACCCUAAAUGCUCCUUUUGUGCUGCAAAAGAAACAUCACAACAUCUCUUUUUUACCUGCCCAGUGGCCAGGGUAACUUGGAGAGCGGUGGCUUGUAUGUUUGGGACUGAUCUAUGCCCAAACAGCCUGUGGCAAACAUAUUUGUGGUGUUAUUCUUUCUUCCUAGAAGGGGAAGUGUUCUAUACAGUGGGCAUUGCUGCCAUAUGCUAG
Molecule: ribosomal RNA, 339 nt
Filed under: Triticum aestivum (bread wheat)
Lineage: Eukaryota; Viridiplantae; Streptophyta; Magnoliopsida; Poales; Poaceae
Description: partial small subunit ribosomal RNA
Source: RNAcentral